This 465-nucleotide ribosomal RNA is filed under the name Vreelandella stevensii. RNAcentral describes it as "partial 16S ribosomal RNA". It matches the Rfam family "Bacterial small subunit ribosomal RNA", at positions 338 to 795 of the family's 1533-position model. Lineage: Bacteria; Pseudomonadati; Pseudomonadota; Gammaproteobacteria; Oceanospirillales; Halomonadaceae. The record is from RNAcentral.
CCUACGGGGGGCAGCAGUGGGGAAUAUUGGACAAUGGGUGAAAGCCUGAUCCAGCCAUGCCGCGUGUGUGAAGAAGGCCUUCGGGUUGUAAAGCACUUUCAGUGGGGAAGAAAGCCUUGGGGCUAAUACCCUCGAGGAAGGACAUCACCCACAGAAGAAGCACCGGCUAACUCCGUGCCAGCAGCCGCGGUAAUACGGAGGGUGCGAGCGUUAAUCGGAAUUACUGGGCGUAAAGCGCGCGUAGGCGGUCUGAUAAGCCGGUUGUGAAAGCCCCGGGCUCAACCUGGGAACGGCAUCCGGAACUGUCAGGCUAGAGUGCAGGAGAGGAAGGUAGAAGUCCCGGUGUAGCAGUGAAAUGCGUAGAGAUCGGGAGGAAUACCAGUGGCGAAGGCGGCCUUCUGGACUGACACUGACGCUGAGGUGCGAAAGCGUGGGUAGCAAACAGGAUUAGAUACCCUUGUAGUC